This is a non-coding RNA of Macaca mulatta (Rhesus monkey), 3765 nucleotides long. Lineage: Eukaryota; Metazoa; Chordata; Mammalia; Primates; Cercopithecidae. The record is from RefSeq and is a predicted model, not a curated record.
GCCUGGGGCGGGGCUCCACAGUGGGCGGGGCUUCCCCGAGUUCCGGAGUCCAGUCGCUGGCCGCCUUGCUGGAGCGGAGAUGCAGCCACCGCCCCGAAAAGUGAAGCCGGCCCAGGAGGUGAAGCUUCGCUUCCUGGAACAGCUGAGCAUCCUUCAGACCCGGCAGCAAAGGGAGGCGGAUCUGCUGGAGGACAUCAGAUCCUACAGCAAGCAGAGGGCAGCCAUUGAACGGGAGUAUGGGCAGGCACUCCAGAAACUGGCUGGCCCAUUCCUGAAGAGGGAAGGGCACCGGAGCGGCGAGAUGGACAGCAGGACAGUGUUCGGUGCCUGGCGCUGCCUGCUGGAUGCCACCGUGGCUGGGGGCCAAACCCGGCUCCAGGCGUCCGACCGAUACCGUGACCUAGCAGGGGGCACAGGGCGGAGCGCCAAGGAGCAGGUGCUUAGGAAGGGAACAGAGAACCUCCAGAGGGCGCAGGCCGAGGUGCUGCAGUCUGUCCGGGAGCUGAGCCGAAGUCGGAAGCUGUAUGGGCAGCGGGAACGUGUGUGGGCCUUGGCACAGGAGAAGGCAGCUGACGUCCAGGCCAGGCUAAACCGAAGUGACCAUGGGAUCUUCCACUCUCGGACCAGUCUCCAGAAACUGAGCACCAAGCUGUCCGCCCAGUCAGCCCAGUACUCCCAGCAGCUGCAAGCCGCCCGCAAUGAGUACCUGCUUACUUUGGUGGCUACCAAUGCCCACCUCGACCAUUACUACCAGGAGGAACUGCCAGCUCUGCUCAAGGCCCUUGUCAGUGAGCUGUCAGAACACUUGAGGGACCCCUUGACCUCCCUCAGCCGCACUGAGCUGGAAGCCGCAGAGGUCGUCCUGGAGCAUGCCCACCGUGGGGAGCAGACAACCUCCCAGGUAAGCUGGGAGCAAGACCUGAAGCUGUUUCUUAAGGAGCCUGGUGUAUUUUCCCCCACCCCACCUCAGCAGUUUCAGCCAGCAGGGACUGAUCAGGUGUGUGCCCUGGAGUGGGGAGCAGAAAGCAUGGCUGGCGAGAGUGGCCUGGAGAAAGAGGUUCAGCGCUUGACCAGCCGAGCUGCCCGUGACUACAAGAUCCAGAACCAUGGGCAUUGGGUACUGCAGCGACUGGAGCAGAGGCAGCAGCAGGCUUCAGAACGGGAGGCUCCAGGCAUAGAACAGAGGUUACAGGAAGUGCGAGAGAGCAUCCGCCGGGCACAGGUGAGCCAGGUGAAGGGGGCUGCCCGGCUGACUCUGCUGCAGGGGGCUGGCCUCGAUGUGCAGCGCUGGCUGAAGCCAGCCAUGACCCAGGCCCAGGAUGAGGUAGAGCAGGAGCGACGUCUCAGCGAGGCUCGGCUGUCCCAGAGGGACCUCUCUCCAACCGCUGAGGAUGCUGAGCUUUCUGACUUUGAGGAAUGUGAGGAGACAGGAGAGCUCUUUGAGGAGCCUGCCCCCCAAGCCCUGGCCACUAGGCCCCUCCCCUGCCCUGCACAUGUGGUAUUUCGCUAUCAGGCAGGGCAUGAGGAUGAGCUGACAAUCACGGAGGGUGAGUGGCUGGAGGUCAUAGAGGAGGGAGAUGCUGACGAAUGGGUCAAGGCUCGGAACCAGCACGGUGAGGUAGGCUUUGUCCCUGAGCGGUAUCUCAACUUCCCGGACCUCUCCCUCCCAGAGAGCGGCCAAGACAGUGACAAUCCCUCUGGGGCAGAGCCCAAAGCAUUCCUGGCACGGGCCCUGUACAGCUACACCGGACAGAGUGCAGAGGAGCUGAGCUUCCCUGAGGGGGCGCUCAUCCGUCUGCUGCCCCGGGCCCAAGAUGGAGUAGAUGACGGCUUCUGGAGGGGAGAAUUUGGGGGCCAUGUUGGGGUCUUCCCCUCACUGCUGGUGGAAGAGCUGCUUGGUCCCCCAGGGCCACCUGAACUCUCUGACCCUGAACAGAUGCUGCCGUCCCCUUCUCCUCCCAGCUUCUCCCCACCUGCACCUACCUCUGUGUUGGAUGGGCCCCCUGCACCUGUCCUGCCUGGGGACAAAGCCCUGGACUUCCCUGGGCUCCUGGACAUGAUGGUACCUCGACUCAGGCCGGUAAGGGCCCUUGCCUUGGAGGAGAUUGUAUGUAGAGGGGUUCCAAUCAGUCCUGUUUUGUCUGGUAUACCCUUAAGGGAGGACUCUGGAGCACUAACUGUGUGUUCCCUACAGAUGCGUCCACCACCUCCCCCGCCGGCUAAAGCCCCGGAUCCUGGCCACCCAGAUCCCCUCACCUGAAGGCCAGGGAAUCCUUGACCCCCGGUGAUGCUGCUGUCCCUAUCUUCAAGCUGUCAGACCACACCCUCAAUGAUCCAGAGCAACACAGCCAAAACCUGGAAUCUCCCUAUUUCCACCCUUACCUCCAAGGGUAGAAACUUGCCCCUUCCCAUUUCUGGGACUGGAGCCCACUCCUUUUUUUCCCAUUGUCCUAUCAUCUCUAGGACUGGAACUACUCCUUUCUCUUCUGCCAUCACCCUAUCUAGGGUGGUGAAAUGCCUGAAAUCUCUGGGGCUGGAAACCAUCCAUCAAAGUCUCUAGUGGUUCUGGCCCACCUCUUUCCCCACCCUGGCUCCGUGACCCACCCCACUCUGGAUGCCAGGGUCACUGGGGUUAGGCCGGGGAGAGGAACAGGCCUUGGGGAUCAGAAGGCGCUGGAGCCAGGAUGCGAAGCAGCUGUAAUGGUCUGAGCGGAUUUAUUGACAAUGAAUAAAGGGCACGAAGGCCAGGCCAGGGCCUGGGCCUCUUGUGCUAAGAGGGCAGGGGGCCUAUGGUGCUAUUGCUUUAGGGGCCCACCAGGGGCAGGGGCCUGCUCCCAGCUGCCACGCUCUAUUAUAUGGAGCGAGGUGUUGGGGAAGGCGGGUCAGGCAGCCUGUUGCAGGCAGGGGAAGGAGAAGAGACUGAGGGGCCAUGACCUCUCCUGAGGCCCCCAGCCUGAGACCGUGUAACUCCAGGUAGAAGUUGAGCUGGUCCCUCAGCUGGGGGGCAGUGCUGUCCAGUGGAGGGGAGGGCCUUCACGCCCACCCACACCCUGGCCCUGCCAGCUGGUAGUCCAUCAGCACAAUGAAGAAGGAGACUUGGAGAAGAGGAAGAGUAACAGUAUUGCUUCCUGUUCAGGCUGUAUCCAGCUUUUCCCCUGGGGCUGCAGGACCUUCCCUACCUCUACCACCAAACCAAGGGAUUUAUAGCAAAGGGGACAUCCUGAGUUUGGUGGCUACUUCCCUCUGGCCUAAGGUAGGGGAGGCCUUCUCAGACUGUGGGGCACAUUGUGUAGCGUGACUUCCGCUGGAGCUCACAGUCCAGGAGGAAAGAGCCAAGGCCCACUUUUGGGAUCAGGUGCCUGAUCAUUGGGCCCCCUACCUCAACCUCACUUUCCCUGGAGCACCUGCCCCACCUGCCCACAGAGAACACAGUGGUCUCCCCUGUCCGGGGGCGGCUUUUUCCUUCCUUGGAGCGUCCCUGACGGACAAGUGGAGGCCUCUUGCUGCGGCUGCAAUGGAUGCAAGGGGCUGCAGAGCCCAGGUGCACUGUGUGAUGAUGGGAGGGGGCUCCAUCCUGCAGGCUGGAGGUGGCAUCCACACUGGACAGCAGGGAGGAGGGGAGCAAGGGUAACAUUUCCAUUUCCCUUCAUGUUUUGUUUCUUAUGUUCUUUCAGCAUGCUCCUUAAAACCCCAGAAGCCCCAAUGUCCCCAAGCCCCAACAUUUUUUUCUUGUCUUUAUCUAAUAAAUUCAAUAUUAAGAUGUUA